CCUGGCUUGCUGGGGGGAUUAGUGGCGAACGGGUGAGUAACACGUGAGUAACCUGCCCUUGACUCUGGGAUAAGCCUGGGAAACUGGGUCUAAUACCGGAUACGACCAUCUGGCGCAUGUCAUGGUGGUGGAAAGCUUUUGUGGUUUUGGAUGGACUCGCGGCCUAUCAGCUUGUUGGUGGGGUAAUGGCCUACCAAGGCGACGACGGGUAGCCGGCCUGAGAGGGUGACCGGCCACACUGGGACUGAGACACGGCCCAGACUCCUACGGGAGGCAGCAGUGGGGAAUAUUGCACAAUGGGCGCAAGCCUGAUGCAGCGACGCCGCGUGAGGGAUGACGGCCUUCGGGUUGUAAACCUCUUUCAGUAGGGAAGAAGCGAAAGUGACGGUACCUGCAGAAGAAGCGCCGGCUAACUACGUG
RNAcentral lists this ribosomal RNA (420 nucleotides) under Arthrobacter sp. EB125. Its description in RNAcentral is "bacterial SSU rRNA". It matches the Rfam family "Bacterial small subunit ribosomal RNA", at positions 74 to 507 of the family's 1533-position model. Lineage: Bacteria; Bacillati; Actinomycetota; Actinomycetes; Micrococcales; Micrococcaceae. The record is from RNAcentral.